GAAGGGGGCUAGCGUUGUUCGGAAUUACUGGGCGUAAAGCGCGCGCAGGCGGUUUUUCAAGCCAGUGGUGAAAGCCCGGAGCUCAACUCCGGAACUGCCAUUGAAACUGUGAAACUCGAGGAUGAGAGAGGUGAGUGGAAUUCCCAGUGUAGAGGUGAAAUUCGUAGAUAUUGGGAAGAACACCGGUGGCGAAGGCGGCUCACUGGCUCAUUUCUGACGCUCAGGCGCGACAGCGUGGGGAUCAAACAGGAUUAGAUACCCUGGUAGUCCACGCCGUAAACGAUGAAUGCUAGCCGUUGGGCAGCUUGCUGUUCAGUGGCGCAGCUAACGCAUUAAGCAUUCCGCCUGGGGAGUACGGCCGCAAGGUUG
Molecule: ribosomal RNA, 369 nt
Filed under: uncultured bacterium
Lineage: Bacteria
Description: bacterial SSU rRNA
Rfam family: Bacterial small subunit ribosomal RNA
Source: RNAcentral